Molecule: ribosomal RNA, 425 nt
Filed under: uncultured bacterium
Lineage: Bacteria
Description: partial 16S ribosomal RNA
Rfam family: Bacterial small subunit ribosomal RNA
Source: RNAcentral
GUGGGGAAUAUUGGACAAUGGGCGCAAGCCUGAUCCAGCAAUGCCGCGUGAGUGAUGAAGGCCUUAGGGUUGUAAAGCUCUUUCACCGGGGAAGAUAAUGACGGUACCUACAGAAGAAGCCCCGGCUAACUUCGUGCCAGCAGCCGCGGUAAUACGAAGGGGGCUAGCGUUGUUCGGAUUUACUGGGCGUAAAGCGCACGUAGGCGGAUUGGUCAGUUAGAGGUGAAAUCCUGGAGCUCAACUCCAGAACUGCCUUUAAUACUGCCAGUCUAGAGUCCAGAAGAGGUGAGUGGAACUCCUAGUGUAGAGGUGGAAUUCGUAGAUAUUAGGAAGAACACCAGUGGCGAAGGCGGCUCACUGGUCUGGUACUGACGCUGAGGUGCGAAAGCGUGGGGAGCAAACAGGAUUAGAUACCCUUGUAGUCC